AGAGUUUGAUCCUGGCUCAGGACGAACGCUGGCGGCGUGCCUAACACAUGCAAGUCGAGCGAUGAAAUCCCUUCGGGGAUGGAUUAGCGGCGGACGGGUGAGUAACACGUGGGUAACCUGCCUCAAAGAGGGGGAUAGCCUCCCGAAAGGGAGAUUAAUACCGCAUAACAUUAGUUUUUCGCAUGGAGAACUAAUUAAAGGAGUAAUCCGCUUUGAGAUGGACCCGCGGCGCAUUAGCUAGUUGGUGAGGUAAAGGCUCACCAAGGCGACGAUGCGUAGCCGACCUGAGAGGGUGAUCGGCCACAUUGGAACUGAGACACGGUCCAGACUCCUACGGGAGGCAGCAGUGGGGAAUAUUGCACAAUGGGCGAAAGCCUGAUGCAGCAACGCCGCGUGAGUGAUGAAGGCCUUCGGGUUGUAAAGCUCUGUCUUUGGGGACGAUAAUGACGGUACCCAAGGAGGAAGCCACGGCUAACUACGUGCCAGCAGCCGCGGUAAUACGUAGGUGGCAAGCGUUGUCCGGAUUUACUGGGCGUAAAGGAUGCGUAGGCGGAUAUUUAAGUGAGAUGUGAAAUUCCCGAGCUUAACUUGGGAGCUGCAUUUCAAACUGGAUAUCUAGAGUGUGGGAGAGGAGAAUGGAAUUCCUAGUGUAGCGGUGAAAUGCGUAGAGAUUAGGAAGAACACCAGUGGCGAAGGCGAUUCUCUGGACCAUAACUGACGCUGAGGCAUGAAAGCGUGGGUAGCAAACAGGAUUAGAUACCCUGGUAGUCCACGCCGUAAACGAUGAGUACUAGGUGUAGGGGGGUCCAACCUUCUGUGCCGCAGUUAACACAAUAAGUACUCCGCCUGGGAAGUACGAUCGCAAGAUUAAAACUCAAAGGAAUUGACGG
This 890-nucleotide ribosomal RNA is filed under the name uncultured bacterium. RNAcentral's name for it is "bacterial SSU rRNA". It matches the Rfam family "Bacterial small subunit ribosomal RNA", at positions 8 to 916 of the family's 1533-position model. The record is from RNAcentral.